Small nuclear RNA from Cricetulus griseus (Chinese hamster), 91 nucleotides. NCBI's taxonomy places the organism in Eukaryota, Metazoa, Chordata, Mammalia, Rodentia, Cricetidae. The record is from Ensembl.
GUGCUUGCUUUGGCAGCACAUAUACUAAAAUUGGAACACAUGGCCCCUGCGCAAGGAUGACAGGCAAAUUCGUAAAGCAUUCCAUAUUUUU